AGCGGCGGACGGGUGAGUAACGCGUGGGUAACCUGCCUCAUACAGGGGGAUAACAGUUAGAAAUGACUGCUAAUACCGCAUAAGACCACAGCACCGCAUGGUGCGGGGGUAAAAACUCCGGUGGUAUGAGAUGGACCCGCGUCUGAUUAGCUGGCUGGUAAGGUAACGGCUUACCAAGGCGACGAUCAGUAGCCGACCUGAGAGGGUGACCGGCCACAUUGGGACUGAGACACGGCCCAA
Molecule: ribosomal RNA, 240 nt
Filed under: uncultured bacterium
Lineage: Bacteria
Description: partial 16S ribosomal RNA
Rfam family: Bacterial small subunit ribosomal RNA
Source: RNAcentral